Molecule: ribosomal RNA, 1245 nt
Filed under: metagenome
Description: bacterial LSU rRNA
Rfam family: Bacterial large subunit ribosomal RNA
Source: RNAcentral
UGAAUACGAGAUGCUACGGCGUCGAAGCAGUGUAUGUCAGACUUCCAAGAAAAGCUCGCAAUGUCAUAAAUAAAGAAUGCCUGUACCAUAACCGACACAGGUGGGUAGGUAGAGUAUACUAAGGGGCGCGAGAUAACUCUCUCUAAGGAACUCGGCAAAAUAACUCCGUAACUUCGGGAGAAGGAGUGCCUUCUUUAAGAAGGUUGCAAUAACAAGAUCCAAGCAACUGUUUAUCAAAAACACAGGUCUCCGCUAAGUCGUAAGACGAUGUAUGGGGGCUGACGCCUGCCCAGUGCCAGGAGGUUAAAGAAGUUGGUUAGCUUUUGCGAAGCUGAUGACUGAAGCCCUGGUGAACGGCGGCCGUAACUAUAACGGUCCUAAGGUAGCGAAAUUCCUUGUCGGGUAAGUUCCGACCCGCACGAAAGGCGUAAUGAUUUGGAUACUGUCUCGGAGAGGGACUCGGUGAAAUAGACUUGUCUGUGAAGAUGCGGACUACCUGCACCAGGACAGAAAGACCCUAUGAAGCUUUACUGUAACUUGAAAUUGAAAUUGGACUUUAUUUGCGCAGUAUAGGUGGAAGGCGUUGAAAGUAAUCUUGCGGGAUUAGUGGAGCCAUCAGUGAGAUACCACUCCUAUAAUGUUAGAUUUCUAACUUUGGAUCAUGAUCUGGUCAAAGAACAGUUUCAGGCGGGCAGUUUGACUGGGGCGGUCGCCUCCCAAAUGGUAACGGAGGCGUACAAAGGUUUCCUCUGAACGGGUAGAAAUCGUAUCUAGAGUGUAAAGGCAUAAGGAAGCUUGACUGUGAGACCUACAAGUCGAGCAGGGACGAAAGUCGGUCUUAGUGAUCUGACGGUGCUGAGUGGAAAGGCCGUCACUCAACGGAUAAAAGUUACUCUAAGGAUAACAGGCUGAUCUCCCCCAAGAGUUCACAUCGACGGGGAGGUUUGGCACCUCGAUGUCGGCUCAUCGCAUCCUGGGGCGGUAGUACGUCCCAAGGGUUGGGCUGUUCGCCCAUGAAAGCGGUACGCGAGCUGGGUUCAGAACGUCGUGAGACAGUUCGGUCCAUAUCCGGUGUAGGCGUUAGAAUAUUGAGAGGAGCCUUCUUUAGUACGAGAGGACCGAGAAGGACAUACCUCUGGUGUACCAGUCAUCGUGCCAACGGUAAACGCUGGGUAGCUAUGUAUGGAGAGGAUAACCGCUGAAAGCAUCUAAGUGGGAAGCCCACCUCAAGAUGAGUAUUCUCAU